RNAcentral lists this ribosomal RNA (229 nucleotides) under uncultured bacterium. Its description in RNAcentral is "partial 16S ribosomal RNA". It matches the Rfam family "Bacterial small subunit ribosomal RNA", at positions 568 to 796 of the family's 1533-position model. The record is from RNAcentral.
UGCGUAGGUGGCAAGGGAAGUUUGAUGUGAAAUCCCCGGGCUCAACCCGGGAACUGCAUUGAAAACUCUCUAGCUCGAGGGUCGGAGGGGAGACUGGAAUUCUCGGUGUAGCAGUGAAAUGCGUAGAUAUCGAGAGGAACACCAGUGGCGAAGGCGAGUCUCUGGACGACACCUGACACUGAGGCACGAAAGCUAGGGGAGCAAACAGGAUUAGAUACCCUGGUAGUCC